CCUACGGGAGACAGCAGUGAGGAAUAUUGGUCAAUGGGCGCGAGCCUGAACCAGCCAAGUCGCGUGAGGGAAGACGGUCCUAUGGAUUGUAAACCUCUUUUGUCGGGGAGCAAAAGACGCCACGCGUGGCGUUCCGAGAGUACCCGAAGAAAAAGCAUCGGCUAACUCCGUGCCAGCAGCCGCGGUAAUACGGAGGAUGCGAGCGUUAUCCGGAUUUAUUGGGUUUAAAGGGUGCGCAGGCGGAAGAUCAAGUCAGCGGUAAAAUUGAGAGGCUCAACCUCUUCGAGCCGUUGAAACUGGUUUUCUUGAGUGAGUGAGAAGUAUGCGGAAGGCGUGGUGUAGCGGUGAAAUGCAUAGAUAUCACGCAGAACUCCGAUUGCGAAGGCAGCAUACCGGCGCUCAACUGACGCUCAUGCACGAAAGUGUGGGUAGCGAACAGGAUUAGAUACCCGGGUAGUC
Molecule: ribosomal RNA, 459 nt
Filed under: uncultured bacterium
Lineage: Bacteria
Description: partial 16S ribosomal RNA
Rfam family: Bacterial small subunit ribosomal RNA
Source: RNAcentral